AAUGAACGCUGGCGGCGUGCUUAACACAUGCAAGUCGAACGGAUGUGAAUCGCUUCGGUGGUGCACAUAAGUGGCAGACGGGUGAGUAACGCGUGGGCAACCUACCUUCGAGGCGGGGGAUACCAUUCCGAAAGGGGUGUUAAUACCGCAUAAAACGAUGAGUACCUUGGGACUCAUGGUCAAAGCUGGGGACUCCGGAAACGGGGCCUGGCACUUGAAGAGGGGCUCGCGUCAGAUUAGCUUGUUGGUGGGGUAAUGGCCUACCAAGGCAUCGAUCUGUAGCCGGCCUGGGAGGGUGAUCGGCCACACUGGAACUGAGACACGGUCCAG
RNAcentral lists this ribosomal RNA (330 nucleotides) under uncultured bacterium. Its description in RNAcentral is "bacterial SSU rRNA". It matches the Rfam family "Bacterial small subunit ribosomal RNA", at positions 29 to 334 of the family's 1533-position model. The record is from RNAcentral.